UUCUUACUAACAUUUUUGUAAGUACCGCCUGCUCCAUGAAAUUUAAAUAGCCGCGGAAAUUUAACCGUGCUAAGGUAGCAUAAUCAUUAGCCCCCUAAUUAGGGGCCUGUAUGAACGGCACAACAUUUCAUUUACUUUUUUGGCAGUUUUUUUUAAAAUUAAAUUAAGAAUAAAAAUGUUCUUAUUCUAAAAAUAGACGACAAGACCCUUUUGAACUUUACUACAGUUUAGCUGGGGCAGCUAUAAAACAAUAAUUUUUUACAUUCAAUAAUUUUACUAAAAGACCCCGUUAAACCGACUAUUUGAACAAGUUACCACAGGGAUAACAGCGUAAUAUCUUUUUAAAGCUCGUAUAAAAAAAGGAGAUUGCGACCUCGAUGUUGAAUUAGUUUUUCUUCCCGGAGCAGUAUCUGUAAAAGUGGGCCUGUUCGGCCCUUAAAAUACUACAU
Molecule: ribosomal RNA, 449 nt
Filed under: Telaprocera maudae
Lineage: Eukaryota; Metazoa; Arthropoda; Arachnida; Araneae; Araneidae
Description: partial 16S large subunit ribosomal RNA
Rfam family: Bacterial large subunit ribosomal RNA
Source: RNAcentral